This 199-nucleotide unclassified non-coding RNA is filed under the name fungal sp. RNAcentral's name for it is "partial internal transcribed spacer region". The stretch from base 1 to 46 matches the Rfam family "Eukaryotic small subunit ribosomal RNA", at positions 1786 to 1831 of the family's 1831-position model. The record is from RNAcentral. Lineage: Eukaryota; Fungi.
AAGUCGUAACAAGGUUUCCGUAGGUGAACCUGCGGAAGGAUCAUUAACAAAUCUGUAUGGCAUAGUCCUUGGACUUGCCACAUUGACUCGGACCCUGACAGUUCGUUAGGGUCUGGAGACAUUCACGCUUGUAUUGUAUGACUGAGUCAUGGUGAAAACGAAAUAAAGACAACUUUUAACAAUGGAUCUCUUGGCUCUU